RNAcentral lists this ribosomal RNA (262 nucleotides) under uncultured bacterium. Its description in RNAcentral is "partial 16S ribosomal RNA". It matches the Rfam family "Bacterial small subunit ribosomal RNA", at positions 99 to 354 of the family's 1533-position model. The record is from RNAcentral.
CGAACGGGUGAGUAACACGUGGGCAACCUGCCCAAAANAGGGGGAGUAACACUUGGAAACAGGUGCUAAUACCGCAUAACCAUAGUUACCGCAUGGUAGCUAUGUAAAAGGUGGCUAUGCUACCGCUUUUGGAUGGGCCCGCGGCGCAUUAGCUAGUUGGUGGGGUAAAGGCUUACCAAGGCAAUGAUGCGUAGCCGAACUGAGAGGUUGAUCGGCCACAUUGGGACUGAGACACGGCCCAAACUCCUACGGAAGGCAGCAG